Molecule: ribosomal RNA, 557 nt
Filed under: Novosphingobium sp. BvORR109
Lineage: Bacteria; Pseudomonadati; Pseudomonadota; Alphaproteobacteria; Sphingomonadales; Sphingomonadaceae
Description: bacterial SSU rRNA
Rfam family: Bacterial small subunit ribosomal RNA
Source: RNAcentral
ACGGGUGCGUAACACGUGGGAAUCUGCCCUUCGGUUCGGAAUAACAGUUAGAAAUGACUGCUAAUACCGGAUGAUGACGAAAGUCCAAAGAUUUAUCGCCGAAGGAUGAGCCCGCGUAGGAUUAGGUAGUUGGUGGGGUAAUGGCCCACCAAGCCGACGAUCCUUAGCUGGUCUGAGAGGAUGAUCAGCCACACUGGGACUGAGACACGGCCCAGACUCCUACGGGAGGCAGCAGUGGGGAAUAUUGGACAAUGGGCGAAAGCCUGAUCCAGCAAUGCCGCGUGAGUGAUGAAGGCCUUAGGGUUGUAAAGCUCUUUUACCAGGGAUGAUAAUGACAGUACCUGGAGAAUAAGCUCCGGCUAACUCCGUGCCAGCAGCCGCGGUAAUACGGAGGGAGCUAGCGUUGUUCGGAAUUACUGGGCGUAAAGCGCACGUAGGCGGCUACUCAAGUCGGGGGUGAAAGCCCGGGGCUCAACCCCGGAACUGCCCUCGAAACUAGGUAGCUAGAAUCUUGGAGAGGUCAGUGGAAUUCCGAGUGUAGAGGUGAAAUUCGUAGA